This 301-nucleotide ribosomal RNA is filed under the name uncultured bacterium. RNAcentral's name for it is "partial 16S ribosomal RNA". It matches the Rfam family "Bacterial small subunit ribosomal RNA", at positions 509 to 807 of the family's 1533-position model. The record is from RNAcentral.
CAGUAGCCACGGUAAUACGUAGGGUGCAAGCGUUAAUCGGAAUUACUGGGCGUAAAGCGUGCGCAGGCGGUUCGUUAAGACAGAUGUGAAAUCCCCGGGCUUAACCUGGGAACUGCAUUUGUGACUGGCGGGCUAGAGUAUGGCAGAGGGGGGUAGAAUUCCACGUGUAGCAGUGAAAUGCGUAGAGAUGUGGAGGAAUACCGAUGGCGAAGGCAGCCCCCUGGGCCAAUACUGACGCUCAUGCACGAAAGCGUGGGGAGCAAACAGGAUUAGAUACCCGCGUAGUCCCUGUCUCUUAUAC